CGGAAAUGUGAUGCAGAUUCAGUGAUCAUCGAAUCUUUGAACGCACAUUGCGCCCCCUGGUAUUCCGGGGGGCAUGCCUGUUCGAGCGUCAUUUCACCACUCAAGCCUCGCUUGGUAUUGGGCAACGCGGUCCGCCGCGUGCCUCAAAUCGACCGGCUGGGUCUUCUGUCCCCUAAGCGUUGUGGAAACUAUUCGCUAAAGGGUGCUCGGGAGGCUACGCCGUAAAACAAACCCAUUUCUAAGGUUGACCUCGGAUCAGGUAGGGAUACCCGCUGAACUUAAGCAUAUCAAUAAGCGGAGGAAA
Molecule: ribosomal RNA, 304 nt
Filed under: Cladosporium cladosporioides
Lineage: Eukaryota; Fungi; Ascomycota; Dothideomycetes; Cladosporiales; Cladosporiaceae
Description: eukaryotic LSU rRNA
Rfam family: 5.8S ribosomal RNA (bases 1-91)
Source: RNAcentral